This 492-nucleotide ribosomal RNA is filed under the name uncultured bacterium. Its description in RNAcentral is "partial 16S ribosomal RNA". It matches the Rfam family "Bacterial small subunit ribosomal RNA", at positions 29 to 507 of the family's 1533-position model. The record is from RNAcentral.
AGUGAACGCUGGCGGUAGGCCUAACACAUGCAAGUCGAACGGCAGCACAGUAAGAUCUUGCUCUUACGGGUGGCGAGUGGCGGACGGGUGAGGAAUACAUCGGAAUCUACUUUUUCGUGGGGGAUAACGUAGGGAAACUUACGCUAAUACCGCAUACGACCUACGGGUGAAAGCAGGGGAUCUUCGGACCUUGCGCGAUUGAAUGAGCCGAUGUCGGAUUAGCUAGUUGGCGGGGUAAAGGCCCACCAAGGCGACGAUCCGUAGCUGGUCUGAGAGGAUGAUCAGCCACACUGGAACUGAGACACGGUCCAGACUCCUACGGGAGGCAGCAGUGGGGAAUAUUGGACAAUGGGCGCAAGCCUGAUCCAGCAAUACCGCGUGGGUGAAGAAGGCCUUCGGGUUGUAAAGCCCUUUUGUUGGGAAAGAAAAGCAGCAGGUUAAUACCCCGCUGUUCUGACGGUACCCAAAGAAUAAGCACCGGCUAACUUCGUG